UACGGAGGAUCCAAGCGUUAUCCGGAUUUAUUGGGUUUAAAGGGUGCGUAGGCGGGCUGUCAAGUCAGCGGUGAAAGUUCAUGGCUCAACCAUGGAAUUGCCGUUGAAACUGUCAGCCUUGAGUGUAGAUGAGGUGGGCGGAAUUCGUGGUGUAGCGGUGAAAUGCUUAGAUAUCACGAAGAACUCCGAUUGCGUAGGCAGCUCACUAGGCUACAACUGACGCUGAGGCACGAAGGUGCGGGGAUCAAACAGG
Molecule: ribosomal RNA, 253 nt
Filed under: uncultured bacterium
Lineage: Bacteria
Description: partial 16S ribosomal RNA
Rfam family: Bacterial small subunit ribosomal RNA
Source: RNAcentral